UGGAGUUAGCUCAAAUGGUAGAGCAUGCUGGCGGAAAACAGCAGAUGCAGGUUCAAGCCCUGUACUCCCAA
This 71-nucleotide transfer RNA is filed under the name Caudoviricetes sp. RNAcentral's name for it is "tRNA-Phe". It matches the Rfam family "tRNA". From Rfam's summary of the family: Transfer RNA (tRNA) molecules are approximately 80 nucleotides in length. Lineage: Duplodnaviria; Heunggongvirae; Uroviricota; Caudoviricetes. The record is from RNAcentral.